This 494-nucleotide ribosomal RNA is filed under the name uncultured Eubacteriales bacterium. RNAcentral's name for it is "bacterial SSU rRNA". It matches the Rfam family "Bacterial small subunit ribosomal RNA", at positions 28 to 523 of the family's 1533-position model. Lineage: Bacteria; Bacillati; Bacillota; Clostridia; Eubacteriales. The record is from RNAcentral.
GAUAAACGCUGGCGGCGUGCAUAACACAUGCAAGUCGAACGAUGAAGCUUAGAUGAUUUCUUCGGAAUGAACUUAAGUGGAUUAGUGGCGAACGGGUGAGUAACACGUGAGUAGCCUGCCUUAUACAAGGGGAUAGCCUCUGGAAACGGAGAAUAAUACCCUAUAAAGUCUAAUCAGCACAUGCUGGAAAGACCAAAGAUUUAUCGGUGUAAGAUGGACUUGCGUCUGAUUAGCUAGUUGGUGAGAUAAAAGCUCACCAAGGCGACGAUCAGUAGCCGGCUUGAGAGAGUGUACGGCCACAUUGGGACUGAGACACGGCCCAAACUCCUACGGGAGGCAGCAGUGGGGAAUAUUGCACAAUGGAGGGAACUCUGAUGCAGCGACGCCGCGUGAACGAUGAAGGCUUUCGAGUCGUAAAGUUCUUUUAUAUGGGAAGAUAAUGACGGUACCAUAAGAAAAAGCCCCGGCUAACUACGUGCCAGCCGCCGCGGUAA